AGAGGAAGGCAGAAGGCCAAGCGUAUGUUGCUCCCCAACAGCACUGUCCCGAGAAGAGAGGUUGACCAAAUAUUUGGCAAGACUAAAUAUUACGGUCUCUGGAAAGAAGUGCUGUGAAAGGGAGGGAGAGAGCUGCAUGGAGACACCUGCUCGCAGGAGACUGGUGGAGAAACGUCCCUGCCACGAGCAUCCAGCCUUCGAGGUGUGCGGGGAAGUGUGUAAUUGACGGGCAGCCCGACCGAGGCCCUCCUGCGGGACCAAAUUGUAAUCGGCUGCGGCGCUUGGUCACAACAGGGAUUCCUUUUACAUCCUAGUGCGGCCACGAACCUGGCAAGCAGGUCCCCGCGGUUAUUAAGAAGCCUCCUGACUUCAGCAGGUCGCCUUGGGUCAGUGCAGCGGCAUACAUUCUGGCUGCUGGGCUCGGAGUUGGCGAAGACAGCCUUGUAGACACAAAUCCCUUUACACUUGGACAUGGAGAAAAGAAUCAAGAUGGAUGGCCCCAGCCCCCCCAGCCUGCUGCACACCUGCCUGCCCCCGCUCCCACUGCCUCGCCUCAUCCCUCUUGGCUGGUUCCUUGACAAGUUCAUUGCUGUGUUCACCAGAAAGCGAUCAGCGGAGUCUUGCUUCUGGAGAAGUUAAAUGCAGGCCGACAAUUCCUCAGGGGUUCACGGGAUGAAAGGCUGCAAAAGAGGGUUUGGAAGCGCUUCACAGAGGGACCCACGUCUACACAUACGUCAAGAGAACUGUUGUUUGGGGAAAACAAGUUGUAUUGGAGGCUUUGGGAAUUGCAGAGAGGUUUCACAAGAACUCAGAGGAGCAAAUAAGAAAUAAAAGACACAGCCAACGUUUAUUGAGUGCGUGCUAUGCGGUGGGCUUCGUGUUGAGCCUUUUCAAGUCACUUUUUCAUUGUAUUCUCCGCACCUUAGCGCACUGUCUCCUGUCGUUAACCCGCAGAGGUCAGGUGAUCCUCCUGAGGUCGCCGAAUGAGUAGCAGAGCCAAGACUCAAACUCAGGCCUGCCAGGACCCGGAAGGCCGUGACUUUCAUCUGUGUGCAUGUCCUAGGGGACGGGAGAGAGGAAAGGAGCACAGGCACACACGUCCACGGGGCAGCAGCAAUAGCGACACAGGACGACAGAGCCGGGAGCUCCGGACUCCCAUCCAAACCCCGUCACCAGCAACCUGGGACCCUGCAAAUGCCUCUUUGCUGCUCUGGGCCUCAGUCUUCUCUCCAGUGAGAUGGCAGUUUCGAAGGAGAAGCCCCCUCGGGCCCAAGUUUGUAAUGCUCUCCUCUUCCUAGUCCACAGGUGAGAAGACUUCGGCUCGGGAACAGGGCCACUGGAAGUCGUGGCCAAUCUGGCCCAACCCGUCACAGGGACCUUGAAGCCCCUCUGCAACGUGUCCAGGGACUCCAGGCCCUGCUAGCAAGAUGGAAAUGGACGAGGCCCAAGGCGGCUUGCGCAUACUUACCGAGUGAAAGUAGUAUCUUGAGCGUGACUUCCCUGAGUCUUUGCCACGGGCCCCCGCUAGCAGCGGCCCAAGCUCCUCUUCGGUGCUGAAUUUCCCUCACCGGGGCCGCCAGUGAGCCUUCCGACGGCCAGACACGUGACUCUCUCUGUCCGGGGGGACGUGAGGGGUGGAAUCCGGGAAGACUUGACUCAAUUUGAUGGAAAGCAACUUCCUUCUAGCAGUAGGAAGUUAGAGGAAGAGCAGAGCAGGGUAAAACAGACAGCAAGCAGUACAGGGGCCGGUAGGCCUGCUCUGAGCAUUGCUGAUACUUACCGGCUGUGUGUGGCUCCAGACAAAACCCCUUAUGUCCACACAUCUUGGUUUUCCUCUCUGGGUAAAGAGAUGCAGACAUUCGGCCCGCUGAGAUCAAAGCGCCAGACGGGAAGGGGGUGUGUGUGC
Molecule: long non-coding RNA, 1906 nt
Organism: Panthera uncia (snow leopard)
Lineage: Eukaryota; Metazoa; Chordata; Mammalia; Carnivora; Felidae
Exons: 3
Source: RefSeq, a predicted model, not a curated record